This 465-nucleotide ribosomal RNA is filed under the name uncultured bacterium. RNAcentral's name for it is "partial 16S ribosomal RNA". It matches the Rfam family "Bacterial small subunit ribosomal RNA", at positions 29 to 507 of the family's 1533-position model. The record is from RNAcentral.
AUGAACGCUGGCGGCGUGCUUAACACAUGCAAGUCGAACGAUGAAGCCCAGCUUGCUGGGUGGAUUAGUGGCGAACGGGUGAGUAACACGUGAGUAACCUGCCCUUAACUCUGGGAUAAGCCUGGGAAACUGGGUCUAAUACCGGAUAGGAGCGUCCACCGCAUGGUGGGUGUUGGAAAGAUUUAUCGGUUUUGGAUGGACUCGCGGCCUAUCAGCUUGUUGGUGAGGUAAUGGCUCACCAAGGCGACGACGGGUAGCCGGCCUGAGAGGGUGACCGGCCACACUGGGACUGAGACACGGCCCAGACUCCUACGGGAGGCAGCAGUGGGGAAUAUUGCACAAUGGGCGCAAGCCUGAUGCAGCGACGCCGCGUGAGGGAUGACGGCCUUCGGGUUGUAAACCUCCUUCAGUAGGGAAGAAGCGAAAGUGACGGUACCUGCAGAAGAAGCACCGGCUAACUACGUG